This 364-nucleotide ribosomal RNA is filed under the name Escherichia coli. RNAcentral describes it as "partial 23S ribosomal RNA". It matches the Rfam family "Bacterial large subunit ribosomal RNA", at positions 1 to 392 of the family's 2925-position model. Lineage: Bacteria; Pseudomonadati; Pseudomonadota; Gammaproteobacteria; Enterobacterales; Enterobacteriaceae. The record is from RNAcentral.
GGGUUGUGAGGUUAAGCGACUAAGCGUACACGGUGGAUGCCCUGGCAGUCAGAGGCGAUGAAGGACGUGCUAAUCUGCGAUAAGCGUCGGUGAGGUGAUAUGAACCGUUAUAACCGGCGAUUUCCGAAUGGGGAAACCCAGUGUGUUUCGACACACUAUCAUUAACUGAAUCCAUAGGUUAAUGAGGCGAACCGGGGGAACUGAAACAUCUAAGUACCCCGAGGAAAAGAAAUCAACCGAGAUUCCCCCAGUAGCGGCGAGCGAACGGGGAGCAGCCCAGAGCCUGAAUCAGUGUGUGUGUUAGUGGAAGCGUCUGGAAAGGCGCGCGAUACAGGGUGACAGCCCCGUACACAAAAAUGCACAU